UUUAUUUGAUUUCCUUCGGGACUGAUUAUUUUGUGACUGAGUGGCGGACGGGUGAGUAACGCGUGGGUAACCUGCCUUGUACAGGGGGAUAACAGUUGGAAACGGCUGCUAAUACCGCAUAAGCGCACGGUUCCGCAUGGAACAGUGUGAAAAACUCCGGUGGUGUGAGAUGGACCCGCGUCUGAUUAGCCAGUUGGUGGGGUAACGGCCUACCAAAGCGACGAUCAGUAGCCGACCUGAGAGGGUGACCGGCCACAUUGGGACUGAGAUACGGCCCAGACUCC
Molecule: ribosomal RNA, 284 nt
Filed under: uncultured Roseburia sp.
Lineage: Bacteria; Bacillati; Bacillota; Clostridia; Lachnospirales; Lachnospiraceae
Description: partial 16S ribosomal RNA
Rfam family: Bacterial small subunit ribosomal RNA (bases 46-284)
Source: RNAcentral